This 77-nucleotide transfer RNA is filed under the name Plateros sp. UPOL A00483. RNAcentral's name for it is "tRNA-Gln". The record is from RNAcentral. Lineage: Eukaryota; Metazoa; Arthropoda; Insecta; Coleoptera; Lycidae.
UCUAUAAAACAAGGUUUAAUUUUACAAUGAAAAUAUAAUGUUUUCAAUUUAAACUAUAUAGAUAUAGAUAUAGAAAU